Molecule: long non-coding RNA, 483 nt
Organism: Rhinolophus ferrumequinum (greater horseshoe bat)
Lineage: Eukaryota; Metazoa; Chordata; Mammalia; Chiroptera; Rhinolophidae
Exons: 3
Source: RefSeq, a predicted model, not a curated record
AGGUCCUCUGAAAUCCGCAGCCAGGGAUGACCGAUUGUAUUCAAGUUCAAGGGUUCCCCCCCACCCCCCCAUCAAAACAAACCCGGGGAAUGGAGUGAGCCUGUCUGUGAGCAGACCAUCAAUGACGUUACCCAUGAGAACCUCAAUUCAACGAGAAACCUCUGAUGACCGUCUUCUCGCUUCGUCUUCACAUGGCCUUUUCUUUUGUUGACAUAAGAACGUCCAAAGCUGUGGAUAAUUUUUACAAGGGUUUAUUUGCACCAAAAUUGAUGACAAUUGCCGGGAAGCAAGAUCUCAAAUGCUCUGGAGAAUGGCAGCUUGCAGUUUCUUUUAUGCAUUUGAAAUUAAGAAGUUAUCAACCGUUGAUUGUCGGCGCCAGUUCAAUGCCAAUAGGAAUCCCUAAUUUGGGAUGUGGUGAAGAAAGAAACUUUAUUUAGUGCAGCCAGCUCAGUUGUGAUACAGCAUGGCUUUAGAACAGCUCAA